Molecule: ribosomal RNA, 497 nt
Filed under: uncultured bacterium
Lineage: Bacteria
Description: bacterial SSU rRNA
Rfam family: Bacterial small subunit ribosomal RNA
Source: RNAcentral
AUGAACGCUAGCUACAGGCUUAACACAUGCAAGUCGAGGGGCAGCAUGAAGUUUGCUUGCAAACUUUGAUGGCGACCGGCGGAUGGGUGAGUAACGCGUACCCAACCUGCCCCCUUCCCGGGCACAGCCCUUGGAAACGAGGAUUAACGCCCGAUGGCGUCUGGAUGCCGCAUGGAGAACCAACCAAAGGCCGGGCAACCGGUCACUGAAGGAUGGGCCUGCGUCUGAUUAGCUAGUUGGUAAGGUAACGGCUUACCAAGGCGACGAUCAGUAGCCGGUCUGAGAGGAUGAACGGCCACAUUGGGACUGAGACACGGACCAGACUCCUACGGGAGGCAGCAGUGAGGAAUAUUGGUCAAUGGGCGGAAGCCUGAACCAGCCAAGUAGCGUGAAGGAUUACAGCCCUACGGGUUUUAAACUUCUUUUAUAUGAGAGUAAUGUGCACUACGUGUAGUGUAUUGCAAGUAUCAUAUGAAUAAGCAUCGGCUAACUCCGUG